AACGCACAUUGCGCCCUUUGGUAUUCCGAAGGGCAUGCCUGUUCGAGCGUCAUUAUCACCCCUCAAGCCCCCGGCUUGGUGUUGGACGGUCGGUGAAACUCCCUCGCGGGUGUCUCACCCCUCCCAAAGACAAUGACGGCGGCCUCGUUGGACCCCCGGUACACUGAGUUCUUAACCGAGCACGUACCGGACAAGGGUUCACGGGACACGGUCUGCCUCCCCUCAGGGAGAACUUUUACAAGGUUGACCUCGGAUCAGGUAGGGAUACCCGCUGAACUUAA
RNAcentral lists this unclassified non-coding RNA (281 nucleotides) under uncultured Herpotrichiellaceae. RNAcentral describes it as "sequence contains ITS2". The stretch from base 1 to 52 matches the Rfam family "5.8S ribosomal RNA", at positions 103 to 154 of the family's 154-position model. Lineage: Eukaryota; Fungi; Ascomycota; Eurotiomycetes; Chaetothyriales; Herpotrichiellaceae. The record is from RNAcentral.